AGAACGCCGCAAUGGUGACCAAGGGGUAGAAAGAAACGACUCGGCCCUCGCGUCGUCCCCCGCGGGGGACUCGACGCCGAAUAGGGUUUCUGUCGCGCCGCCAUCCCCCCUCCCCCUCUUCUCUCCCCGUCGCCAGAGGCCCGCGCGGCCGUCGACGACGGUGGCGGCGAGUUCUUGCUACUUCUUUCUCGGGCGGAGGGCCUUGGGUGCGCCGGGGCGGCGGCCUCGGCGUCGCCAGUUCUCCAGGGGCAGCCGGCGUCCUCGGCCGGCUGGGCGGCGAGGCGGCGGCGGUUGAGGAGCUUCGCCUCCCCCCUCUCCCUUUCGGCCCGCUCCCCUGCCGGAUCCAGCCGCCGCCGGUUCUGCUGCCGGGCGGGGUUAGUAGUGCCAAGCAGACCAAGUAUGAAACAAAAGUCUUCAAUUUGGGCGGAGAAGUUAUUUCAUCAAUCCAGUAUGAGCUGGCAACUCAUAUUUUAACUUUGGAUAAUAUCGGUGAAGGAGCAAUUAAGUUAUGGACAAUUGAAGGAAAAAGGGUAGUUUCUAGUGAUUGGAUCGAUGGGUGCAACAAUGCUAGUGGCUCCGAUUGUACCACAUCAAGCAGUAGCUGUCCAAGGUCAGUUGUAUCAACCAACAAAAGAAAAAGGUCCUGCAUUGAAUGAAGUGGUACAUCGCAGUCUGAGGAGAAUAAAAAUGGAAAAUUUCAUCAUUGGCUGAAUUGUUCAUUAGAUAAAUCUGAAACAUUUACUCUGCAAGAAUUUAUCAGUGAUAAUGAAGAUCGUGUGACCCAACUUGUCCCGACACCGGGAAGUGAUAACAACCAUUUGUCCAUUUUGGCGGCCACUGAAGUCAAACUCUAUUCCAGAAAAUCUUAUUUAGCCAUGGCAGCUAUGCAUGUUGAUGGAAUGACAAUGAGAGGACAGUUUGGUGCUGCCAAUUUUGUAGUUGAUAGAUCCAAAUCUGUUAAGGUUGGCAACCUAACAGAAGGAACACUAAAGGAAAUCAAAACAAAUGAUGAUUUGGAUCUAGACAAGGCGAGUUUUGCGAGAAUGAUCAGAAACGAAGUGCUCCUUGGAAAGGCAAUACCAAACGAUAUUUUUGAGUGGCUUUCGAUGUUGUUGAAGGGUGAACCCCCAGAACUAUUAUACUGCCAUAUUGGGUUGCUUGAUGAUUUCUUAGGAGGACAUAUCUUGAUGACCCUAUAUGAUAGGUUGAUUGAUCUAGAGAAAGAUGAUCCAGAAGCGUACAAUUCUGUAAUCCGUGCAUUACCACAGUAUAAGGGAUGGCAGAGAAAGACCAAAUUUCUAAGGAACUCAUUUCUGGAGCAGACUUUCUCCUACGAAGAUAAAACAGGGAAGAAAACCAUCUACAAAGACAAUGUGAGGGGAUUGCUUCACCUUCUUAGAAAUUGCAAGAGGCAUGCAGCCAUUUCUGUUGAGUUGUUCAGCUGUAUCAUUGGUCAGUACUUCAGGCGAAUUGCCUCGGAUUUUCAAAGAGCGAUGCACAAGGUUGGAUGCCUUCAGAAAUUGAAUCUCCAUUAUAUACUUAACUAAGGCUUUACACAGAGCAAUAUUACGUAAAUGAAAUGCAGUCCGAUGCCAUUCCAGAAAUGCAAAGGUCUAACCUUGUUUCCUGCAUAAUACAGAUUUCUUGAAGCUAUCUGGUGAAAGUGUUCAAAGAUAUUUAGUGACUAUUCUAACGCCAUCUUAGCAGCAGAAAAGAGACCCAAGUUGAAGCCAUAAAGUAUAAAGGCGUUCCUAAAGGGCUGGUGACUGCUGAUUUUUUUGGAAAGCUAAUGAAAAUCUUGAUCAUAUGUUUAAGUCACAUAGGCAUUGGAUCAAUCACAGAAAUGUGACAAUUUUAAUAGAACACAAUGCUUAUUCUUGCUGGCCUUUUAGCUGUAAUUAUUAUUAUCCUUGAUAUUAUGAGGUUUUGUGUGACUCGACUUGUAUAAUUGUUGGGGUGGGUUUAAUUACUUCAUAAUUUUGCUAAUUACUA
Non-coding RNA from Triticum urartu, 1992 nucleotides. NCBI's taxonomy places the organism in Eukaryota, Viridiplantae, Streptophyta, Magnoliopsida, Poales, Poaceae. The record is from RefSeq and is a predicted model, not a curated record.